GAGGGUAUAGCUCAGUGGUAGAGUGCAUGCCUAGCGUGCGUGAGGUCCUGGGUUUAAUUCCCAGUAACUCUA
Transfer RNA from Camelus ferus (Wild Bactrian camel), 72 nucleotides. It matches the Rfam family "tRNA". From Rfam's summary of the family: Transfer RNA (tRNA) molecules are approximately 80 nucleotides in length. Their secondary structure includes four short double-helical elements and three loops (D, anti-codon, and T loops). Further hydrogen bonds mediate the characteristic L-shaped molecular structure. tRNAs have two regions of fundamental functional importance: the anti-codon, which is responsible for specific mRNA codon recognition, and the 3' end, to which the tRNAs corresponding amino acid is attached (by aminoacyl-tRNA synthetases). tRNAs cope with the degeneracy of the genetic code in two manners: having more than one tRNA (with a specific anti-codon) for a particular amino acid; and 'wobble' base-pairing, i.e. permitting non-standard base-pairing at the 3rd anti-codon position. NCBI's taxonomy places the organism in Eukaryota, Metazoa, Chordata, Mammalia, Artiodactyla, Camelidae. The record is from Rfam.